This 449-nucleotide ribosomal RNA is filed under the name uncultured bacterium. Its description in RNAcentral is "bacterial SSU rRNA". It matches the Rfam family "Bacterial small subunit ribosomal RNA", at positions 329 to 793 of the family's 1533-position model. The record is from RNAcentral.
AGCCAGACUCCUACGGGAGGCAGCAGUGGGGGAUAUUGCACAAUGGGGGGAACCCUGAUGCAGCGACCCCGCGUGAGUGAAGAAGUAUUUCGGUAUGUAAAGCCCUAUCAGCAGGGAAGAAGAAAUGACGGUACCUGAGUAAGAAGCACCGGCUAAAUACGUGCCAGCAGCCGCGGUAAUACGUAUGGUGCAAGCGUUAUCCGGAUUUACUGGGUGUAAAGGGAGCGCAGGCGGCACGGCAAGCCUGAUGUGAAAGCCCGCGGCCCAACCGCGGGACUGCAUUGGGAACUACCGGGCUGGAGUGCCGGAGAGGUAGGCGGAAUUCCUAGUGUAGCGGUGAAAUGCGUAGAUAUUAGGAGGAACACCAGUGGCGAAGGCGGCCUGCUGGACGAUGACUGACGUUGAGGCUCGAAAGCGUGGGGAGCAAACAGGAUUAGAUACCCUCGUAU